RNAcentral lists this ribosomal RNA (879 nucleotides) under uncultured bacterium. RNAcentral describes it as "bacterial SSU rRNA". It matches the Rfam family "Bacterial small subunit ribosomal RNA", at positions 31 to 902 of the family's 1533-position model. The record is from RNAcentral.
GAACGCUGGCGGCGUGCCUAACACAUGCAAGUCGAGCGGUAACAGGUGUAGCAAUACAUGCUGACGAGCGGCGGACGGGUGAGUAACGCUUGGGAAUCUGCCUAUUAGUGGGGGAUAACUCGGGGAAACUCGAGCUAAUACCGCAUACGCACUACGGUGGAAAGCUGGGGACCGCAAGGCCUGGCGCUAAUAGAUGAGCCCAAGUCGGAUUAGCUAGUUGGUAGGGUAAUGGCCUACCAAGGCGACGAUCCGUAACUGGUCUGAGAGGACGACCAGUCACACCGGAACUGAGACACGGUCCGGACUCCUACGGGAGGCAGCAGUGGGGAAUAUUGGACAAUGGGCGAAAGCCUGAUCCAGCGACGCCGCGUGGGUGAAGAAGGCCUGCGGGUUGUAAAGCCCUUUCAGUGGGGAAGAAAAGCCUCGAGUGAAUACCUCGGGGUCUUGACGUAACCCAUAGAAGAAGCACCGGCUAACUCUGUGCCAGCAGCCGCGGUAAUACAGAGGGUGCGAGCGUUAAUCGGAAUUACUGGGCGUAAAGCGCGCGUAGGCGGCUUUGCAAGUCGGAUGUGAAAUCCCCGGGCUCAACCUGGGAACUGCAUUCGAGACUGCAUUGCUAGAGUAUGGGAGAGGGAAGUGGAAUUUCAGGUGUAGCGGUGAAAUGCGUAGAUAUCUGAAGGAACAUCAGUGGCGAAAGCGACUUCCUGGACCAAUACUGACGCUCAUGUGCGAAAGCGUGGGGAGCAAACAGGAUUAGAUACCCUGGUAGUCCACGCCAUAAACGAUGAGAACUGGAUGUCGGGAGGGUUCUGCCUCUCGGUGUCGUAGCUAACGCGUUAAGUUCUCCGCCUGGGGAGUACGGCCGCAAGGUUGAAACUC